RNAcentral lists this ribosomal RNA (682 nucleotides) under Faecalibacterium prausnitzii. RNAcentral's name for it is "bacterial SSU rRNA". It matches the Rfam family "Bacterial small subunit ribosomal RNA", at positions 440 to 1148 of the family's 1533-position model. The record is from RNAcentral. Lineage: Bacteria; Bacillati; Bacillota; Clostridia; Eubacteriales; Oscillospiraceae.
UGAGGAAGAUAAUGACGGUACUCAACAAGGAAGUGACGGCUAACUACGUGCCAGCAGCCGCGGUAAAACGUAGGUCACAAGCGUUGUCCGGAAUUACUGGGUGUAAAGGGAGCGCAGGCGGGARAACAAGUUGGAAGUGAAAUCCAUGGGCUCAACCCAUGAACUGCUUUCAAAACUGUUUUUCUUGAGUAGUGCAGAGGUAGGCGGAAUUCCCGGUGUAGCGGUGGAAUGCGUAGAUAUCGGGAGGAACACCAGUGGCGAAGGCGGCCUACUGGGCACCAACUGACGCUGAGGCUCGAAAGUGUGGGUAGCAAACAGGAUUAGAUACCCUGGUAGUCCACACCGUAAACGAUGAUUACUAGGUGUUGGAGGAUUGACCCCUUCAGUGCCGCAGUUAACACAAUAAGUAAUCCACCUGGGGAGUACGACCGCAAGGUUGAAACUCAAAGGAAUUGACGGGGGCCCGCACAAGCAGUGGAGUAUGUGGUUUAAUUCGACGCAACGCGAAGAACCUUACCAAGUCUUGACAUCCCUUGACGAACAUAGAAAUAUGUUUUCUCUUCGGAGCAAGGAGACAGGUGGUGCAUGGUUGUCGUCAGCUCGUGUCGUGAGAUGUUGGGUUAAGUCCCGCAACGAGCGCAACCCUUAUGGUCAGUUACUACGCAAGAGGACUCUGGCCGGA